GGCAUUUGAAGUAUUUUGACAUAAGGGUUUUCUUUCUUUCCUCAGGUAACACCCAGUGUGAUUUCUGUCAAAAGUGUUGUGAAUAUAUACACAGAAGAUUUGCUUCAAGAUGUUUUGACCAUACCUGUGACUUGCAGUAUUACUGAGGAAAACAGCAACAAACUGUUGCAUUUCUGCCCAUGUCCUGAUGUAUUUGGAGCGUAUGUUACUUGGAGGUCUCUGCCUCCUCAACCAUCUACCUCUUUAGCUCAUGAAAAUGUUAGUCAAAUGGCAUAACUACCAUGAGCUGGACCUUGGACCAGGUUUCUGGGUUACUCCUUUGCCUUUGAGUUCCAUUCUCUGACCUCUGCCAUGCUAAAGGGAAAGGGGACCAGCUGUUUACUGGGCACUUCUGUUCACCAGGAUGCUGGCUCAGGGCUAGUGUGGUACUUUCAGUCAUGGGACAAUGGCACCUCUUGUCAAGAGGCUUUUUAGAAAGUUGUGAUAAUGCCUACCAAGACUCUGUGAAACUUUUGACUACUUGGUUUUUAAAUUAAUAUUCUUUUAAAUAAACAUCUAUGCUGCCUUUUAAUUUUUAUGCA
RNAcentral lists this long non-coding RNA (581 nucleotides) under Phascolarctos cinereus (koala). Its description in RNAcentral is "lncRNA (ENSPCIG00000009848.2)". Lineage: Eukaryota; Metazoa; Chordata; Mammalia; Diprotodontia; Phascolarctidae. The record is from RNAcentral.